UACGUAGGGAGCAAGCGUUGUCCGGAAUCAUUGGGCGUAAAGCGCGCGUAGGCGGCCCGAUAAGUCCGCUGUAAAAGUCAACGGCUCAACUGUUGAAAGCCGGUGGAUACUGUCGGGCUAGAGUACGGAAGAGGCAAGUGGAGUUCCUGGUGUAGCGGUGGAAUGCGCAGAUAUCAGGAGGAACACCCAUAGCGAAGGCAGCUUGCUGGGACGUUACUGACGCUAAGGCGCGAAAGCGUGGGGAGCGAACAGG
This 253-nucleotide ribosomal RNA is filed under the name uncultured bacterium. RNAcentral describes it as "partial 16S ribosomal RNA". It matches the Rfam family "Bacterial small subunit ribosomal RNA", at positions 524 to 776 of the family's 1533-position model. The record is from RNAcentral.